RNAcentral lists this ribosomal RNA (253 nucleotides) under uncultured bacterium. Its description in RNAcentral is "partial 16S ribosomal RNA". It matches the Rfam family "Bacterial small subunit ribosomal RNA", at positions 524 to 776 of the family's 1533-position model. The record is from RNAcentral.
GACGAACCGAGCGAACGUUGUUCGGAAUCACUGGGCUUAAAGGGCUCGUAGGCGGGUGCUCAAGUCUGUGGUGAAAUCCUCCAGCUUAACUGGAGAACUGCCAUGGAUACUGGGUGUCUCGAGGAAGAUAGGGGUAUGCGGAACGAUUGGUGGAGCGGUGAAAUGCGUUGAUAUCUAUCGGAACGCCAAAGGUGAAGACAGACCGCUGGGCUUGUUCUGACGCUGAGGCACGAAAGCGUGGGGAGCAAACGGG